CAAAAUAUUGUUCAGACAUCUGCCCCGGUUUCCUGCAAAGUUGGGAGAACUGAGGAAAUGCCCCCGGAUUUCAAAGGCCCUCUAUCAACGUUAUUUGUAAGACUGGGAGGAAAACCGCAGAGGAUCUGAGAGGCAACCCGUCGUUGGCAAGAUCUCGACUUCUGAAUUGACUCACGUUGUCCAUCAGGGAGCUUUGGCCUCGGCGUGGCAGCACAGACUGCACCGUGAUCUUUGCAGAGUGAUGGAUGCAGGGGAAGCCAGCAGAUGGUUUACAGGGAUGUGGCCAAGGCACUAAUAGCAACAGAGCCCAGCGCUUGCAAUUGCUUAGUCAGCUGAGGCCUUCACAUACCGCACAGACGAGGAAAUGGGCUGUUACAGGGUCGUGUGAGGACAGGAGUGGAGCCUGAGUCCUGGUUGGACUAAGCAGAUUUCCUCUAAUCUCCUCAGCACUUAGUCACGGGGGGUGCAGCCCUAUGGAGCUUCACAAAAUUCUCUACGAGAGUCUCUCAUGCUUUGUAUGAUUUCAUGCUCCUAGGAUAUUUUCUGCCAUCUUUUGGUGAUAUUCGGAGCUCACCGAAUUAGGAAAGUUUUCAUGUGUAUGGAAGUUGUCUUUGUAUACCAACGUUCUAGGAUUUUUUUUCCUUUUAUUUUUGAUGUCACUCUUUUUUUUUUUUUUUUAUUCCAGUAUCGUUAACAUGCAGUGUUACAUUAGUUUCAGGGGUACAAUAUAGUGAUUCAAAAUGCGAUACACAGCUCCGUGCUCAUCGUGGACUGUCGCCGUUCCAGUCCCUGGGGACUCGGUAGUGUACAAAAUAAAGUCUUCACCUUUGUGGAACUUACAUUACAGAAGAGGCAGUCUGCUGAAUAAUAUUCCACUGCACGUGUAUAGCGUUUGUUCAUCCAUUCGUCCGUUGGCGGACACGCGUGAAUGGUGCUGCUGUGAACAUGGGUGGACGAAGAUCUCUUCAAGCCGCUGCUUUUGAUUCUUUUGGGUCGACGCCCAGAGGUGGAGUUGCAGGAUCAUGGGGUAAUUUCUGUGGGUCUCUUUCAAUGGCGGAGGAUGGGAACCUCCACCAUUCCUUAACGUUUCUCAGUGGUUUUCUACCGCCACCAGGACCAAGUGUCAAGUCGGGUGAACGUGGCUCAGACAUCCCACACGGUGUAGUCCUCGCCCAACUCUCAAAGUCCCCACAUCCACCUUCUGACUUCUAGCGAACUUCUUUGAAUCCCUGCAACAGGCCGCGUGGUUUCCUCUUCUGAGAACUGACCUCCGACCCCAGCUGGCUUGUGCUUAUUGUUAGUUCCCCCUGAGGACUUAUGCUUCUCAGCCCACCAAGUUCAGGUAAGGUUUCUAAUGCCUCUGUCCUGUGUGCUCCCCCAGGACCUUGCCUUGCCUACCGUAUGCGUGGCCAUCCUUAAGCACUGUCCUACCUCACUCUUGCCCUUGAUACGGUAGAUGCUGUGUCUGACACGGACCUACUACCUACCUCCCAGUGGAAAGAGUACUUAUUGAAUAAAUGAACAAAGGUGGACAUACAA
Molecule: long non-coding RNA, 1539 nt
Organism: Felis catus (domestic cat)
Lineage: Eukaryota; Metazoa; Chordata; Mammalia; Carnivora; Felidae
Exons: 3
Source: RefSeq, a predicted model, not a curated record